RNAcentral lists this long non-coding RNA (893 nucleotides) under Salmo salar (Atlantic salmon). RNAcentral's name for it is "lncRNA (ENSSSAG00000084169.1)". The record is from RNAcentral. Lineage: Eukaryota; Metazoa; Chordata; Actinopteri; Salmoniformes; Salmonidae.
GUGGGUGUUCCUCUUUUCUCAAGUUGGCAGUUAUUAAAAAGUUAAGGAUCAGCUCUGACCAAUUGUGUUGUUUGGGUUCUUGCCAUAAUAUGGACUUUGUCUUUUACCAAAUAGGGAUAUCUUCUGUAUACCACCCCUACCUUGUCACGACACAACUGAUUGGCUCAAACGGAUUAAGAAGAAAGAAAUUCCACAAAUGUAUUUUUUAACAAGGUACACCUGUAAAUUGAAAUUCAUUCCAGGACCUGAGCCCUAGGACCAUGCCUCAGGACUACCUGGCUUGAUGACUCCUUGCUGUCCCCAGUUCACCUGGCCGUGCUGCUGCUCCAUUUCCAACUGUUCUGCCUGCAGCUAUGGAACCCUGAACUAUUCACUGGAUGUGCUACCUGUCCCAGACCUGCUGUUUUCAACUCUCUAGAGACAGCAGGAGCGGUAGAGAUACUCUCAAAGAUCGGCUAUGAAAAAGCCAACUGACACUUACUCUUGUGUCACUGACUUGUUGCACCCUCGACAACUACUAUGAUUAUUAUUAUUUGACCAUGCUGGUCAUUUAUGAACAUUUGAACAUCUAGGCUAUGUGCUGUUAUAAUCUCCACCCGGCACAGCCAGAAGAGGACUGGCCACCCCUCAUAGCCUGGUUCCUCUCUAGGUUUCUUCCUGGGUUUUGGCCUUUCUAGGGAGUUUUUCCUAGCCACCGUGCUUCUACACCUGCAUUGCUUGCUGUUUGGGGUUUUAGGCUGGGUUUCUGUACAGCGCUUUGAGAUAUCAGCUGAUGUAAGAAGGGCUAUAUAAAUAAAUUUGAUUUGAUGAUUCUGUCAUCAUGAAGUUCUUUGAGAGACUAGUCAUGGACCAUAUCACCUCCACCCUACCUGAUAACCUAGACCCAAUCUAAU